This is a small nuclear RNA of Jaculus jaculus (lesser Egyptian jerboa), 104 nucleotides long. The record is from RefSeq and is a predicted model, not a curated record. Lineage: Eukaryota; Metazoa; Chordata; Mammalia; Rodentia; Dipodidae.
GUGCCCACUUUGGCAGCACAUAUACUAAAACCGGAACGAUACAGAGAUUAGCACAGCCCCUGCACAAGGAUGACAAGCAAAUUUGUGAAGGGUCCAAUAUUUUU